UCCUUGGUGUUCCAGUGGCUAAGACUCUGAGCUCCCAACACAGGGGACCCAGGUUUGAUUCCUGGUCAGGGAA
RNAcentral lists this transfer RNA (73 nucleotides) under Bos taurus (domestic cattle). It matches the Rfam family "tRNA". Rfam says of the family: Transfer RNA (tRNA) molecules are approximately 80 nucleotides in length. Lineage: Eukaryota; Metazoa; Chordata; Mammalia; Artiodactyla; Bovidae. RNAcentral also lists the same sequence under 3 other names. The record is from Rfam by way of RNAcentral.